RNAcentral lists this long non-coding RNA (1412 nucleotides) under Cucumis sativus (cucumber). RNAcentral's name for it is "long non-coding RNA (CSAT_LNC000535)". The record is from RNAcentral. Lineage: Eukaryota; Viridiplantae; Streptophyta; Magnoliopsida; Cucurbitales; Cucurbitaceae.
AGGACACUAUGCUUUAUUGUUAAAGCCAAGAGGGACCCUUUUUUUCUUUCUUUUUAUGUUCAAUGUAAGAAAGGUAUAGAUACUUUACUCCCUAAAAACUAUAUCCUAUUUUUGGUGUUAAAUUUUAAAUAUUAUGUUUUAAAUUUAUCCAUGGAACUAAAAAAGUAAAUUGCUAAUUAGUAUAAAAUUUAUUACUAAACAUUUUAGAUUUAUUUUGUUUAUCUUUUAACAAUUUUGAUUUUAUCCUUUAUAUAUUGAAUCUUUAUUAACACAAAAUGUUCAAGAUUAAUUGAGAGAACUAAAAAACCCUAUCAAAGAUAUUCAAUGUUUCAAUUUGAUCAUAUAGACAUAUCACUCAACUAUAAAAUAAAAUAUUUACUACAUCCAUAUGGCUUAGUAUUAAAUGAAGAAAAACCUCCAACCUCGAAUUUGAAGAUAGUUGUAUACGUUAACUAUUGCUACAUUAUAUUCACUUUGAUAAGAAAAAUUUGUUAAUUGUUAUAGAAAGUUGAUACAUUGUUGAAAUAAAUGUUGGUAUUGUAACAACCAUCAAUUUCAUAAUACUAUAGGUUUUCAUAUAAAUAUUUUAACAUAUAAUUAGUGAUUGUAAGGACUAAAUGGAAAAGAAAAAUUAACACCCAAAAACAAUGACAUUUACAUAUAUUAAGAAGAUCAAUUUUCAAAUUAAAAUAAGGAAAGUAACCAAAAAAAAAUUAUCACUCAUCACACCAUGCUUCGCCACCGUCGUUGCCUCCGCCUUUUCAGGACAACCCCGUCGACAUGGGAGUAGCUAUAAAGCUUGGGUUAACUUGUCCAGCCAUUAUAACCAAGACCUUGUCGUUAAACAUGGCGCAUGGUAGCGGAUUCAGAUCACCGUCGCUUUUGCCUCGACCAGACUCCAUGUCAGCAUCUCGAGCAGCACCGUGGUUGCCGUUCAAUAUAGAAACAGAAACCUUCCGGCAAUAGGAACAGCCAAGGAUCAAUAGAGAAAAAGAGAUAAGAAUACAAACGGCAGCAAGGGCACCGAAUAAGUACGGUAAGGGCGAAUGCCAUGGUGUGAUGGGGGCGGCUGCCUCUGCCUCCAUGUGGUGAUAAGAGAUUCUCUCUGGUGGUUGCAGCAAUGGCUAUCUAUUAUCAGUUCUAUGGUAUGUGAGCUUUUUGUUGUUUGUAUUAAAGAGUUUUUUGGAAAGAAGAUGGGAAUGAAAAUGAAAUGCAUGAAAAGGUAUCUACAUAUAUUUAUAUUUUUUUAUUUCUGUAAUUACAAUUUUACCCUCAUAACUCUUGAUUUUGUGUAUUGUGUGUGUGUAUGUAAUUCAUAUUAGAGAGGAAUUAGGAAGAAACUAAUAAAGUCUUAAAAUAAAAAAUGUUUUCAAACAUAAUCUAAAUUUCAAUUUUAUAUUCGCAUAUUUAAA